Molecule: ribosomal RNA, 486 nt
Filed under: Staphylococcus pasteuri
Lineage: Bacteria; Bacillati; Bacillota; Bacilli; Caryophanales; Staphylococcaceae
Description: bacterial SSU rRNA
Rfam family: Bacterial small subunit ribosomal RNA
Source: RNAcentral
UCCCCUUCGGGGGNACAAAGUGACAGGUGCNUGCAUGGUUGUCGUCAGCUCGUGUCGUGAGAUGUUGGGUUAAGUCCCGCAACGAGCGCAACCCUUAAGCUUAGUUGCCAUCAUUAAGUUGGGCACUCUAAGUUGACUGCCGGUGACAAACCGGAGGAAGGUGGGGAUGACGUCAAAUCAUCAUGCCCCUUAUGAUUUGGGCUACACACGUGCUACAAUGGACAAUACAAAGGGCAGCUAAACCGCGAGGUCAAGCAAAUCCCAUAAAGUUGUUCUCAGUUCGGAUUGUAGUCUGCAACUCGACUACAUGAAGCUGGAAUCGCUAGUAAUCGUAGAUCAGCAUGCUACGGUGAAUACGUUCCCGGGUCUUGUACACACCGCCCGUCACACCACGAGAGUUUGUAACACCCGAAGCCGGUGGAGUAACCAUUUAUGGAGCUAGCCGUCNAAGGUGGGACAAAUGAUUGGGGUGAAGUCNUAACAAGG